GUGGGGAAUUUUGGACAAUGGGCGCAAGCCUGAUCCAGCAAUGCCGCGUGCAGGAAGAAGGCCUUCGGGUUGUAAACUGCUUUUGUACGGAACGAAACGGUCCGGGUUAAUACCCUGGGCUAAUGACGGUACCGUAAGAAUAAGCACCGGCUAACUACGUGCAAGCAGCCGCGGUAAUACGUAGGGUGCAAGCGUUAAUCGGAAUUACUGGGCGUAAAGCGUGCGCAGGCGGUUUUGUAAGACAGGCGUGAAAUCCCCGGGCUCAACCUGGGAAUUGCGCUUGUGACUGCAAGGCUGGAGUGCGGCAGAGGGGGAUGGAAUUCCGCGUGUAGCAGUGAAAUGCGUAGAUAUGCGGAGGAACACCGAUGGCGAAGGCAAUCCCCUGGGCCUGCACUGACGCUCAUGCACGAAAGCGUGGGGAGCAAACAGGAUUAGAAACCCCUGUAGUCC
This 450-nucleotide ribosomal RNA is filed under the name uncultured bacterium. Its description in RNAcentral is "partial 16S ribosomal RNA". It matches the Rfam family "Bacterial small subunit ribosomal RNA", at positions 354 to 796 of the family's 1533-position model. The record is from RNAcentral.